AAUCAACGCUGGCGGCGUGCCUAACACAUGCAAGUCGAGCGAGAAAGGGGCUUCGGCCCUGAGUAAAGCGGCGCACGGGUGAGUAACACGUGGGUAAUCUGCCCUGGAGUGGGGAAUAACACCGGGAAACCGGUGCUAAUACCGCAUACGAUGGCGAGGUCUGCGGAUUUCGUCAUGAAAGGAGCAAUUCGCUCCAGGAGGAGCCCGCGGCUGAUUAGCUAGUUGGUGAGGUAAUGGCUCACCAAGGCUCCGAUCAGUAGCCGGUCUGAGAGGACGGUCGGCCACACUGGAACUGAGACACGGUCCAGACUCCUACGGGAGGCAGCAGUGGGGAAUUUUUGGCAAUGGGGGAAACCCGUAGACCAAGCAACGCCGCGUGGAUGAUGAAGUCUCUUGGGAC
This 400-nucleotide ribosomal RNA is filed under the name uncultured bacterium. Its description in RNAcentral is "bacterial SSU rRNA". It matches the Rfam family "Bacterial small subunit ribosomal RNA", at positions 32 to 424 of the family's 1533-position model. The record is from RNAcentral.